GGGAAGAAACAUGGGGAGUACACACUGGAGAGAGGUGACUUUCUGUCUGAAGAAUGGAAGGAAAGAAUCGCCACCACAAGUAUUAUUUUUGUGAAUAACUUUGCCUUUGGUCCAGAAGUAGAUCACCAGCUGAAGGAGCGCUUUGCUAACAUGAAGGAAGGUGGAAAAAUUGUGUCCC
Molecule: long non-coding RNA, 178 nt
Organism: Perca flavescens (yellow perch)
Lineage: Eukaryota; Metazoa; Chordata; Actinopteri; Perciformes; Percidae
Exons: 4
Source: RefSeq, a predicted model, not a curated record